This 423-nucleotide ribosomal RNA is filed under the name Mixophyes fasciolatus (great barred frog). RNAcentral's name for it is "partial 12S ribosomal RNA". It matches the Rfam family "Bacterial small subunit ribosomal RNA", at positions 769 to 1402 of the family's 1533-position model. The record is from RNAcentral. Lineage: Eukaryota; Metazoa; Chordata; Amphibia; Anura; Limnodynastidae.
AAACUGGGAUUAGAUACCCCACUAUGCUUAGCCGUAAACUUUUUACUUACCCCUCUAAUCGCCUGGGAACUACGAGCCCACGCUUAAAACCCAAAGGACUUGACGGUGCCCCACAUCCACCUAGAGGAGCCUGUCCUAUAAUCGAUGAUCCCCGUUUAACCUCACCACUUCUAGCCAAUCCGCCUGUAUACCUCCGUCGUCAGCUCACCGCAUGAGCGCCUUAUAGUGAGCACAACAACCCCAACGUUAACACGUCAGGUCAAGGUGCAGCAAAUGAAGUGGGCAGAGAUGGGCUACAUUUUCUAGUUUAGAAAACACGAAAGACUACGUGAAACCCUGUCAGAAGGCGGAUUUAGUAGUAAAAAGAAACAAGAAAGUUCUUUUUAACAAGGCACAGGGGCAUGUACACACCGCCCGUCACCC